Long non-coding RNA from Microplitis demolitor, 1721 nucleotides. RefSeq lists it as uncharacterized. The transcript is spliced from 3 exons. NCBI's taxonomy places the organism in Eukaryota, Metazoa, Arthropoda, Insecta, Hymenoptera, Braconidae. The record is from RefSeq and is a predicted model, not a curated record.
UUUCACCAAUUUCACUUAUUCAUGUUUACAGAGAAUAUUCCGUUUUUUUCCGCAUACAUAAAAUAAAAUUAUGUACAGUAAAGUUGAAAAAAAAAUUUUAUCACAAAAGAACAGAGUAAAAAUUUAUUUAAAAUAUAUAUAAUCAGUCGCGCUUAGUCUAUUGUCUAUUUAUAGCCCAUAAAUAUCAUGCGUCAUAAAAAUAAAUUUAUCAAUUGAUGAUAGACACUCGGACGCUAUCAUCAUAUUUUUAAUGACUUAAGUUAAUGGCACUGAUGAUUUAUGUAUAAAGUUAAACAACAAUAUAAAAAUAUUUUUAACGAAUAUUAAUUUUACAGUAGAGAAAUUACUUUCUGUAUGACAACUCUCUUUUUGAACGUAUACAUGCACAUGCGAUGCUAUAUAUACGUAUAUAUAUGUACAUAUAUGUGUAUGGAUAUACAAAGUAGUAAGAAAUGAACAACAUUACGGAAGUCUGAGGCAAAAUGAAAAGCGAGCGUCAACCGGCCACCCAGAGAGAGAGAAGCGGAUGGCGGAUCUGGGAAUCAUCCAGUUCUAGAGAGCAUCAGAUGAGUAGAGAGUACACAGUUAUCCUUCCAAUACUCAACCAAAAGCAAGAGGAAACUUUCGUAUGGCUCUCUCUUCAAACCCGCAACUUGUCUUCUCUUUACUUCUAUAAUACUGUAGUAUCUUUUUCCCUCUUUUUCCCUCUCUGUCGUUUUCUCUCUUUAGUAGUAUCCGCGUUUGUUCGCAGCGUUUCAACGACAUUACCCGAAAAAGUUUGCCAGAUAAAAAAGGAAGAGUGAGUUUGUUAGCAAUGUACAUGCAGCCGAGUGUACUACUAAACUUGGACUAUACUCAAUUGUAUGUAAGUUUAUGAUGAAAAGUUUACACGAGACUUUAUACACUGUAGAAGAUGAAAAAUAGCUUGGAAAAAAGAACUGGAUAAAGGAUUAUACUUUGUUUGAGAAAGUCAAGGAGAGAAAUUGGUUUGGGAUCAACGCAUAGUUCACAAACCACGACAUUCUACAAUAAAUUCGUUUGACCGUGCAGUGCCAUCUGUAUGGCUCUUAAACUGUCUGACGACAGCUGACUCAAACUAAAUUUAGAUUGUUGAUACAUAUUUAUUGACCAGCAGGAUCCAGUAUUACCAUAAAUAAGGAAAUUCCAUAAAUUAGCAAAUCAAAACUAUAUUAUUCGUACGAUAUUAGAUUUUGGUUUCAAUACAAAAAUUUAACCAAUUUUUCAAAUUUUUAUUUUUUUAAACGUGUCCGUAAUGGAACACUUGGAGAGUCACUCUGUAAUUUAUUUGUAAUUGAAUGAUCCUACGAUGAAAAAAUUUGAGAAAAAAAUUUUGAAAAUUUUAUAAGAAAACUGGAAAUUUAAUUUGAAUUUUAGGAAAAAAUUUGACUUCAGCAUACCCGUAAUGGAAUACUUUUAAAGUCAUUUGAAUUUCAGUCAUAUUUUUAUUAAAUAUCAAGAACUAGGUACAUUUGAAAUUGAGAAAUUUUUCACGGAAAAAAUUGAUUUCAAAAUUUAAAAAUAAAAAUUUUUAUAAAAAAUUUUUUUUUCCAAAAUCACAUGAUCGAAUCCAUCAAGGAAAAAAGAGCCGUUGAAAAAUUACAGUUUGUACAGUGAAAACGGGCCUUCGGGGCAAAAAUCUUCAAACAUUAAAGCUUAAACUGUAAUUUUAGAAAUUUGUUAUAGUAAUAAAAUUAAUACAA